AGUUUGAUCCUGGCUCAGGAUGAACGCUAGCUACAGGCUUAACACAUGCAAGUCGAGGGGCAGCAUGAANUUAGCUUGCUAAGUUUGAUGGCGACCGGCGCACGGGUGAGUAACACGUAUCCAACCUGCCGAUGACUCGGGGAUAGCCUUUCGAAAGAAAGAUUAAUACCCGAUGGCAUAGUUCUUCCGCAUGGUAGAACUAUUAAAGAAUUUCGGUCAUCGAUGGGGAUGCGUUCCAUUAGGUUGUUGGCGGGGUAACGGCCCACCAAGCCUUCGAUGGAUAGGGGUUCUGAGAGGAAGGUCCCCCACAUUGGAACUGAGACACGGUCCAAACUCCUACGGGAGGCAGCAGUGAGGAAUAUUGGUCAAUGGACGAGAGUCUGAACCAGCCAAGUAGCGUGAAGGAUGACUGCCCUAUGGGUUGUAAACUUCUUUUAUACGGGAAUAAAGUGAGGCACGUGUGCCUUUUUGUAUGUACCGUAUGAAUAAGGAUCGGCUAACUCCGUGCCAGCAGCCGCGGUAAUACGGAGGAUCCGAGCGUUAUCCGGAUUUAUUGGGUUUAAAGGGAGCGUAGGCGGACGCUUAAGUCAGUUGUGAAAGUUUGCGGCUCAACCGUAAAAUUGCAGUUGAUACUGGGUGUCUUGAGUACAGUAGAGGCAGGCGGAAUUCGUGGUGUAGCGGUGAAAUGCUUAGAUAUCACGAAGAACUCCGAUUGCGAAGGCAGCCUGCUGGACUGUAACUGACGCUGAUGCUCGAAAGUGUGGGUAUCAAACAGGAUUAGAUACCCUGGUAGUCCACACAGUAAACGAUGAAUACUCGCUGUUUGCGAUAUACAGUAAGCGGCCAAGCGAAAGCGUUAAGUAUUCCACCUGGGGAGUACGCCGGCAACGGUGAAACUCAAAGGAAUUGACGGGGGCCCGCACAAGCGGAGGAACAUGUGGUUUAAUUCGAUGAUACGCGAGGAACCUUACCCGGGCUUGAAUUGCAACUGAAUGAUGUGGAGACAUGUCAGCCGCAAGGCAGUUGUGAAGGUGCUGCAUGGUUGUCGUCAGCUCGUGCCGUGAGGUGUCGGCUUAAGUGCCAUAACGAGCGCAACCCUUAUCGAUAGUUACCAUCAGGUUAUGCUGGGGACUCUGUCGAGACUGCCGUCGUAAGAUGUGAGGAAGGUGGA
This 1171-nucleotide ribosomal RNA is filed under the name uncultured Bacteroides sp. Its description in RNAcentral is "bacterial SSU rRNA". It matches the Rfam family "Bacterial small subunit ribosomal RNA", at positions 10 to 1177 of the family's 1533-position model. Lineage: Bacteria; Pseudomonadati; Bacteroidota; Bacteroidia; Bacteroidales; Bacteroidaceae. The record is from RNAcentral.